UACGGAGGGUCCGAGCGUUAUCCGGAAUUAUUGGGUUUAAAGGGUCCGUAGGCGGGCAGCUAAGUCAGUGGUGAAAGUCUGCAGCUCAACUGUAGAAUUGCCAUUGAUACUGGUUGUCUUGAAUUAUUAUGAAGUGGUUAGAAUAUGUAGUGUAGCGGUGAAAUGCAUAGAUAUUACAUAGAAUACCAAUUGCGAAGGCAGAUCACUAAUAAUAUAUUGACGCUGAUGGACGAAAGCGUGGGGAGCGAACAGGAUUAGAUACCCUGGUAGUCCACGCCGUAAACGAUGGAUACUAGCUGUUCGAUCUUCGGAUUGAGUGGCUAAGCGAAAGUGAUAAGUAUCCCACCUGGGGAGUACGUUCGCAAGAAUGAAACUCAAAGGAAUUGACGGGGGCCCGCACAAGCGGUGGAGCAUGUGGUUUAAUUCGAUGAUACGCGAGGAACCUUACCAGGGCUUAAAUGUAGUUUGACAGGGGUGGAAACACCUUUUCCUUCGGGCAAAUUACAAGGUGCUGCAUGGUUGUCGUCAGCUCGUGCCGUGAGGUGUCAGGUUAAGUCCUAUAACGAGCGCAACCCCUGUUGUUAGUUGCCAGCGAGUCAUGUCGGGAACUCUAACAAGACUGCCAGUGCAAACUGUGAGGAAGGUGGGGAUGACGUCAAAUCAUCACGGCCCUUACGUCCUGGGCUACACCGUGCUACAAUGGUAGGUCAGAGAGCACCCCUAC
RNAcentral lists this ribosomal RNA (724 nucleotides) under uncultured bacterium. RNAcentral's name for it is "bacterial SSU rRNA". It matches the Rfam family "Bacterial small subunit ribosomal RNA", at positions 524 to 1255 of the family's 1533-position model. The record is from RNAcentral.